Long non-coding RNA from Aphis gossypii (cotton aphid), 355 nucleotides. RefSeq lists it as uncharacterized. NCBI's taxonomy places the organism in Eukaryota, Metazoa, Arthropoda, Insecta, Hemiptera, Aphididae. The record is from RefSeq and is a predicted model, not a curated record. The transcript is spliced from 2 exons.
CGAUUGAAAUAAUUUAUUGAAUAUUAUGUUUAUUUAUGCGUAUUGCGUAACUCGUAAUUGUAUAUUAAGAAGUAAAAAGUAUUAAAACAUAACGUAAAUAAAACCAAAAUGAAUAUUGGCAGGUACUUAUGUGAAGACAUAAAGUGCCCUACAUCUCCAACCAAACCUGUCUAAAGAACGCGCAUCAGUGUAUAAUUUUAAAUAAUGACCAUUUUUACAUUUUAAUACACCGUAACGGACCAACAAAUUCCACGAUUGCAAUUUUUUUACUACAAUUAUUGAUACGGGGGUCAUUGGUUUUAUGUUCCAAAAUAUCAUAUAUAACUCAAUAAAAUUAACUAAUAACAUUUUAAAA